Molecule: long non-coding RNA, 5945 nt
Organism: Taeniopygia guttata (zebra finch)
Lineage: Eukaryota; Metazoa; Chordata; Aves; Passeriformes; Estrildidae
Source: Ensembl
AACAAUAUUUUUAUUUAUCAUAUAACAAUAAUUAAGCUCAUGUGACCAAGAUACAACACGAAGCUGUAGAUCAAGAGUUAUAUUUGAAAGAACUGCAGAUUUGAUUUUUCCUGAAUAAUCCCCAAAUUAUAAGAUUCUUCAAUGGUCUUUUUUGUUGUUUUUUUUUUUUUUUCUUGAAAUGUGUACACACAUUGUAGAUGAACAUCAGUUCUAGAAAUCAAUGCCAUGCAGAAAAUAGCUGGUUUUUCUCCUGUUUUGCAGGGGAAAAUAAUAAAUAUUGGUAAAAUCUGAAGUGCCUACAGACUUGUUUUUUAUUGAAACAAUAUUAUAUUUAAUCCUAUAUUUAAUCCUAAGAAUGAUACAUGAAGUUCAUACAGAGAAAAAUAGCUAUGUGUAUUGAUUACAUACAAACUGCUGCUAGGUGUAUUUAGAAAAUAAGAAAGUAUAAACCUUCAUUAUUGCAGUGACAGAUAUAUCUUAUAACAUCCAGUAGCUCCAAUGGUCAUUGAAAUGUUUAAGUACAUUUUGCCUGUUGAUAUAUUUCUAAAAUAGGUGAAAAAUUAAAUAUUAAAAAUAGAAAGAGUAAACAUUGAUGGCUUGCAAAGAGAGCAGAAAAUUAAAUCUACAGCACUUAGAGACAGUAUAAAGACAUGAUGAGGUUUUGCAGAUAUAAAAGAAGCUCAUGUUUCUAAAGACAAACCUUAAAAAAAUUAGGCUCAUAAUGCAUUGCAUCUUCCUUGCAACAUAUUGCACUACAUAAGACUAAGGACCAGCAGUAACAUGGACAUAUGGGAAUUGCAGCUGCUUACUACUGCAAGUUUUUUUUUAAAGUGACUUACUCUGAAAUAGUUAAUAGCUACACAAAACAUUUCUGAAUCAUUAAAGUACAGCAGUAAAAAUUUAUUUUUUAUUUUUCAUAGCAGGCCUCAGCAGGGAAGAAUGACAAAUUUAAAAAAAAUAAUAAUAAUAACCCUACCUUUUCCUAAAUCCUCUGGUUGUCUGGUUGCAGAAGACACUCCUCCAACUCACAUCUUCUUAACAGCAGCACAGCAGAGAGUAAUAUGACUUUAUAUCAUAACAAACAUUCCUUGAAAGAAGACAUUACUUGUGAGAAAAGUUACAUUGCAGUUCAACUACAGCCGAAGAGACACUUUGCUCUUUUGAAGACAUCAGGUUAUGAAAGAUCACUCUGACUUUGCCAUGGAAAAACAAGUGGCCAAAGAUGCAACAGGGCAGAGCAGUAGGAUGCAACCCCCAUUUCUCCAGUUCACUGUUUAAUCACUGGCUUCUGCCUGAUUCUGUACCCUGCAGGGGUGACAUUCCUCACAAGCACACCUAACACACAACACUCUGAACAGUAAGGAGUUGAGGUAACAUCUGGUUUAUGGAUCCUGCCAAACAGCCCAACAUUUGUUCCUGUCAGGACAUUAGGCAGUCAGGUGGAAAUGUCUGCCCACAGAAAAUGCCUGCCUACAGAAAACUGAUGUGUGUUGCCAGGACAAGGAGAUACACCAGUGAACUUCACGCAUCUGUACAGCUAGGGGGGAGGUACAUGAACACAGUGCUCUCUCAGGCACCAGGCCAUCUCUUCCUCCUGAUGUCUUCAGCCUUCAAUGUCAAACUCUAGGGUACAUCUACCACCAAGGAACAAAGUAAAUUUAUCAUGACAAGCACAAUGAUCCGGGAGCAUCCAGUCCGUGCUUUACAUCAGAUCAAAGAGACAAGCUUCUUGUUAGCAGCAGUAACCUGAUGCACACUUUUAGCACCAACUUUUGCCCAAAAUAGUUUCAUUCUGUGCAUUGAAACCCCAAAACCAAGGGGGAAAAUGAAGGCAUACAGUGUGGCAAAAGAGAAGCCUAAGGCAUGUGGAGAUGCUGCAUGUCUUUAUCCUCCUAAAGCUGCAAAAACACUCAGUGCUGGUUAGGGAGCCAAAUUUUGAGAAGGUAAGUAGUGGUAAAUUUAAUGUUCAAACCUUUAUCAUUUAAAUAUUAAGCCUAAAAAAUUAAUAUUUUGAAUAGGAUCUGCACAGUCUGUUCAGAAUUAGAAUAAUCAAUACAAGUGGGUUCCUGCAUCAGCUUUACAUAGAGAAUAACCCAAAUUGUCAGGCUAAGCUGCGUUGCUCUUAAUCUUUCUGGUUGAGCAGAGCAUGGCUUACCAAAGGGCUACCCACCCUCCCUCUACACCUUUGGCAAAGGCAUUGGGGCCACCCCUGCAGAACUGAUCCACCAAGAACAUUUCUAUGUUUCCCUGUUGAGACUUUAUUAAAGGGAAUUGCAUUUGAGUUCGGUAUCAUUCUACAUCAAUGUCCAAAUUAAAGCACUGUCUUCAAGUGCUCAUCUGCUGCAUUUGCAAGUGGCUUCCAGUCCCCUCCAGGCAGCAGCACAAGAAGGAAGCCUAACUGAGCUUCCCCUCUCUUCUACUGAUCAUGAGCUUUAAGCUGUGCAAAAAUGAGGAUUUGUGAAAAAAUCUGUUGAAACUUUACCACAACUGGAAAGACAGAUUUCCUUCACAGACUCUUCCAUGUACAGAGUGAGGAAAGCAGAGGGCCUGGCUGCUCCAAGGCUGAUGGAAGUAUACAAGUAACUGUGGGCACUGUGGAAAGGUAUCUGAUUUGGAGCUCACAGUCAUUACCACAAUUACUUGUAGCAGAACCGGAACUCAUAACUCUCUCUUCUCUUUACUAAAACUCUUGAGAAAAUGCUUCUUAAAAUAUAAUCCAAUGACUUUUUGCUGACUUAGAAACAUAACAAAACCCCAACACCCAACCCAACCUUGAUAUAUCUGUCACUUUUGAAUCAUCUGAUAGUAAUUGCACCCUCUUUUCCGCCAACAUGAAACACUCACUAUAGAAUGACAACCACUCUCUGAUCAGCUUGACUUUUCCCACGUGGCUGGCGUAAGUUACUCAACAAAGUGAUAGAUCUGUCAACACAAGACAAUUUGAUAUGUGUGCAUCCCUAUCAGAAUGGACCCCAGUGCUGAAGCAAUAAAAAACUCCUUGCCAAUACAAACCAUUACUUGAAGUUUUCCCUGACCAUGUUGUCUAUGUGCUGGCACCAACCAACUUUGUUGGUUGAGUCCUCUUUCCUGUAGAUAUCUUCUUAUUCUGCAGCACUAUUGCCCUUUUUGAGCUACAUGCAGACCUCCUGCUGAAUUCCUGGACUAGCACUUGCCUUUGCUCAUGACCAUGAGAGGCUCUUUGCUGUGCAACCUGCCCUGGUGGCAGCAGAGGUGGUAUGUUGUGGAAGCAUCAUCAACAUGGAAUUAUUUCUUGUCAUGGGGGUAAAGAAUACAGUCUGUUUUUUUUUUUUUUUCUUUAUAAACCCAUCUGGACAUCUUCAGCUCACCAGAUUUUUUUUUUCUGAUUAAGGCAACCAGACUCUAACAAAUUCCUGCUGGCUUAUGUCUUUUACAUAAGGCACAUGCAGAGUAUCUUAAUUCCAAGUGGUCAGAGAAAGACAGCCACAUUUCCUGCCCCUUUUGCAAUCCUACAGCAAUGAGCCUGGGCUGAUUUCUCUGCAUGCAGAAAGUCACUGAAAGCCAGAGGGAAUCUGUACUUGAAAGGGUUUCAGCCAUGAAAAGCAGCAAGCCCCAGCAGCAUCUGUCUGUGAGACUCAAAGGAAUAUGUCAUUCUUUGGGUAUUGUGAAUCUUGACAGGUGUUUUAGGGGUAUCUCUUUUUGCCCACAUGCUUACACUACAGUCUCUGUACAACUGGGUGUGUAUAUAGAUUAAAAAGAUAAAAAUUUCCAAAGAAAAGCAAUUCCAGUUUUUGACCAAGCUGAUGAAAAUCUGAGACUGGGUGAAAAAAUAUGUGAUUUCAUCAGUAUAUCACAGUAAUCCUUACAAGUUGUUGGACAAUAUGUGGAAACACCCAAAGCUGGUGUUCAAAUAUGUGGCUUUGUAUUACAAAAGCAUACUGAACCCCUGGUGGAUUUACUUCUGGUCUACUUGCUAAAAUUCACUCUUGGGUUUCAAACUCGGGCUUUGGAGCUAUAUGGAAAGCACAACAAAGCUAUCAUACAGUGCUUUAUAAUGGUGCUCAUUCUAAAGGCAUUGUUAGAGAAAGAGAAGUCAGAAUGCUCCUGAGACACAAAAAGCUGUACCAUGUAUAAACACAAAGUUUAUAAAUAGCUUGAAAGCCAUAGCAAGAAAUUUUUAAAAAUCCCUAAAUUGUAGGGUAGGAAGAAUGGACAGAAAAUAAUAAUUCAGAUAAGAUUUCUGUAUUUCAAUGAGCUGCAAUUUUUUUUCUCUCAUCUCCAACAGCCAAUAUGUAUCCUGUCUCAGAAUAUACAAGUAACGAUACUUGAACUAUAGAUACUCAGAGAUGCCUUCAGAGGAUGGCUAUGCAUGUAACAAUCUAAUUUAUCAAAGCACAAGAAUUUAUAAUGCCUAAUUAAAAUGGGAUAUUCAUUGCUAAAUUAAAGGUUUUUUUAAAAUGGACUUUAAAAUGUAGCCACAAAAUCAAUGGAUAUCCCCCUGGCCUGUUAGACACCCACAUAAACGCAGCUUAUGAGUAGCAAGUACUUAAUUUACUGAUGGCCAGAUGCUCAUUUUGGCAAAGAUGGCCCUUCUGCAUGCCCAGAUUCAGAGACAUUUCUGAAACUGUUGAUGACCAUCAGAAACAGGCUGCUAGGCUAGCCUUUGGCCUGGUCCAUAUGGAAGUUCUUAUGGUCUUCCUAGUAGAGCAGAGCAAGAAAGCAAUCCAUUCUCAUUUCUCGGAAUUCAAAGGUGGAGGAACAAAGUUCUCAUUUGGUGCCUUCUCAAGGCCUUUGUACACAGAUGCAGCAGAGCCUUUGGACACCCCCUGUUCCUGCCUCAUACUCCCAGCUUGUGCCUGCCUGUCCCCAAGCACAGGUAUGGUAUUCACUGCCAUUUAAAAACUACUUUUCCACCUGUCGUCUACCAAUAGCAGGGGAAUCUAACGAACUCCUGCUGACUUUUUGUCUUCACUGUGUGUGCAUACUAAUUCCAGACAGAAGCAUUUUGCUGAGGAGUCAGAGGACUCAUUAUCCCUUUUUAACAGUACACAACCCCAGUCAUAAUGUAUGCCCACAGGAAGAAAUGUUUGCCAUGCAGGGAAUGACUCAGACUAGGUCAAAGCAGCGAUAUAAGGAGUGUGGAGAAAAGUGAACAGUAACUGCAGCUUAUAAAAGGUAGCAUUUAUCUUAAGAGAGUGACAACUGCAUUUAUCUUAACAGAGCGACAAGUUACAAGGGAGUAUUGUGAUCUUCUGACUCUGAAGCCCACCCUUUAGGAACCACUGAUCUGGAAUAUGAAAAGACUGUACAUGCUGAAAAAGUCUUUUUUAAUGUGACAGGGUCAGAUUGCGAUGAAGCUCACUCAGGUCGAGUGGGCAGGCAUUUUCCUUCUUGUUUUGCCACCAUUGACAUUAACACUAUCAUUAUUGGUAAAAUAAAGCUGAAUACAAUGCAAAUGCAAUUGUGGUCCUUUUGCAUACUAACAAUUGAUAAUUAAAAAAUUUCAAUAAAUUCAAUAAAUCCCAAUGUUUUUAUUUUUUCUGAGUGACUGGCUCUACUGGGAAGUAACAACAGUAUGAGGUCGCCCUGGUAGUACUCUUAUAACGAAGUGAGGUGCAGCAACUAUCAGUCAUGAAGUUGACUCUCUGUUUAUAAGAUUAAACAAUGACUAAGCUUUAAAAAAUGCAUAAACAGCAGUGUAAUAAGGCCGUCAUUGAAGUAUAAGGAAUAAAAUGAAACUGGUAAAACACAUAACUACAUAUUAUUAUAGCAAGUGAAACACACCCAGAAAACGGCUUCCUUUCAGUCUAAUUGUUCCACCUGCCUGCAUACAGUAUGCUACACAAAGUCCUGGGCUUAAUCACCUCUUAGCUGUGUCAUGUCUCUUUCCUGAUGGAAAGCACAGCAAUGCACCAAAUCAACUAGAGACAACAGAAAUUAUUAAACAUGCAUAACCUUUGAGAGUA